Molecule: ribosomal RNA, 354 nt
Filed under: uncultured Desulfobulbus sp.
Lineage: Bacteria; Pseudomonadati; Thermodesulfobacteriota; Desulfobulbia; Desulfobulbales; Desulfobulbaceae
Description: bacterial SSU rRNA
Rfam family: Bacterial small subunit ribosomal RNA
Source: RNAcentral
CUGGAGACAGGUGCUGCAUGGCUGUCGUCAGCUCGUGUCGUGAGAUGUUGGGUUAAGUCCCGCAUCGAGCGCAACCCUUGCCUUUAGUUGCCAGCAGUUCGGCUGGGCACUCUAAAGGGACUGCCGGUGUUAAACCGGAGGAAGGUGGGGAUGACGUCAAGUCCUCAUGGCCUUUAUGACCAGGGCUACACACGUACUACAAUGGCCGAUACAAAGGGCAGCGACACUGCGAGGUGAAGCCAAUCCCGUAAAAUCGGUCUCAGUCCGGAUUGGAGUCUGCAACUCGACUCCAUGAAGUUGGAAUCGCUAGUAAUCGUGGAUCAGCAUGCCACGGUGAAUACGUUCCCGGGCCUU